Molecule: long non-coding RNA, 449 nt
Organism: Mugil cephalus (flathead mullet)
Lineage: Eukaryota; Metazoa; Chordata; Actinopteri; Mugiliformes; Mugilidae
Exons: 3
Source: RefSeq, a predicted model, not a curated record
UCUAUAAAGAUGGAGCCCACAAGUGGAGAAGCUCCACAGGAAAUCUGAUCAUCAAAACAGUCUCUAUGCUUGAUCAAGGAUUCUACAAAUGUCACAUCUCUGGAGUUGGAGAAUCACCUCAGAGCUGGCUGACUGUUGGAGUUUCAGGUUUUUCUACCAUCGAUACAGAAGAUACAGAAGAUCACGUAGAUUCUAACCCUGAUUCCUCAUCCACCAUAAGUACACCAUGGAUCAUCAUCGCUGUCUUGUUGACACUUUUCUUGUUGGUCAUGGGACUACUAAUCUGCUUUGGCAGAUUUGCCUGUAGAAGAGGCUCUGUACAGGCCAAUGCAGCUGCACCAAGCCAACCAAUAUAUGCUACUGUAUCAACGACCAGGAAGAAGACCGGUAUUUCCUCUACCCUUAUAGACCACAGUUAACAUGCUACUCAGCAUUUACAUUGGUUGACA